GAAAUGCGAUAAGUAAUGUGAAUUGCAGAAUUCAGUGAAUCAUCGAAUCUUUGAACGCACAUUGCGCCCGCCAGUAUUCUGGCGGGCAUGCCUGUUCGAGCGUCAUUUCAACCAUCAAGCCCCCGGCUUGUGUUGGGGACCUGCGGCUGCCCGCAGGCCCUGAUAAACAGUGGCGGGCUCGCUGUCACACCGAGCGUAGUAGCAUACAUUCUCGCUCAGGGCGUGCUGCGGGUUCCGGCCGUUAAACGACCUUCAUAACCCAAGGUUGACCUCGGAUCAGGUAGGAAGACCCGCUGAACUUAAGC
This 305-nucleotide unclassified non-coding RNA is filed under the name plant metagenome. RNAcentral's name for it is "partial contains 5.8S ribosomal RNA, internal transcribed spacer 2, and large subunit ribosomal RNA". The stretch from base 1 to 105 matches the Rfam family "5.8S ribosomal RNA", at positions 50 to 154 of the family's 154-position model. The record is from RNAcentral.